AAAAAAAUACUCCAUUUUCUUCUAAUUUCUCAACCCUCUGAGGGCUGCAAGCUAGGAAUAAACUCCUGAGAAUUUCUAUUGGCCAGACUAGAAUUAGACUCCCUACAGCUUCCUUUCACAUUCCCUCCCACCUUAGCUGAAGCACGGCAAAGCCUGUCACCUCACUGCCAGGGUAGCCCACAGCUAAUAAUCUGUGGGUGAGAUCAAGUCCCAGCUGCUAGUUGUACCUUGCU
Molecule: long non-coding RNA, 233 nt
Filed under: Bos taurus (domestic cattle)
Lineage: Eukaryota; Metazoa; Chordata; Mammalia; Artiodactyla; Bovidae
Description: long non-coding RNA NONBTAT023585
Source: RNAcentral